GAUGAACGCUGGCGGCGUGCCUAACACAUGCAAGUCGAACGGAAAGGCCCUGCUUUUGUGCGGUUCUCGAUUGGCGAACGGGUGAGUAACACGUGUGUAACCUGCCCUUGUCUUUCGGGUAUCUUCACGAAACUGGGGAUAAUAUAGGAUAGGAUCUCCUGCACCGUGGUGGGCGUUGGAAAGUUUCGGCGGUUGUGGAUGGACUCGCGGCUUAUCAGCUUGUUGGUGGGGUAGGUGAUUUCCAAGUCUUUGACGGGUAGCCGGCCUGAGAGGGUGAACGGCGACAAUGCGACUGAGGGAGGGAGCAGUAGGCUAUGGGAGGCAGCAGUGGGGAGCAUGACACAGCGGGCGGAAGCCUGAUGCAGAGACCCUCGGUGCGUAAUGCCCUCUUUUUGGUUGAGAACAGCUUUCGCCUGAGACGAAGCGGUAGUGACGGUACUGAGUAAAGAAGCACCGGCUAACUACGUG
This 468-nucleotide ribosomal RNA is filed under the name uncultured bacterium. Its description in RNAcentral is "partial 16S ribosomal RNA". It matches the Rfam family "Bacterial small subunit ribosomal RNA", at positions 28 to 507 of the family's 1533-position model. The record is from RNAcentral.